RNAcentral lists this ribosomal RNA (256 nucleotides) under uncultured bacterium. RNAcentral describes it as "partial 16S ribosomal RNA". It matches the Rfam family "Bacterial small subunit ribosomal RNA", at positions 57 to 305 of the family's 1533-position model. The record is from RNAcentral.
GCAAGUCGAGGGGUAACAGAUAUAAAGCUUGCUUUAUAUGCUGACGACCGGCGCACGGGUGCGUAACGCGUAUGCAACCUACCUCAUACUGGAGCAUAGCCCUUGGAAACGGGGAUUAAUACUCCAUGGUAUCAUGAAUUCGCAUGUUUUUAUGAUUAAAGAAUUUCGGUAUGAGAUGGGCAUGCGUCCCAUUAGCUAGUUGGUGAGGUAACGGCUCACCAAGGCGACGAUGGGUAGGGGGCCUGAGAGGGUGGUC